UCCAGACUCCUACGGGAGGCAGCAGUGGGGGAUAUUGCACAAUGGGGGGAACCCUGAUGCAGCGACGCCGCGUGAGGGAAGACGGCCUUCGGGUUGUAAACCUCUGUCGCAGGGGACGAAGGAGAUGACGGUACCCUGUGAGGAAGCCACGGCUAACUACGUGCCAGCAGCCGCGGUAAUACGUAGGUGGCGAGCGUUGUCCGGAAUUACUGGGUGUAAAGGGAGCGUAGGCGGGAUAUUAAGUUGAAUGUAUAAACUACCGGCUUAACCGAUAGAAGCGUUCAAAACUGAUAUUCUUGAGUGAAGUAGAGGCAGGCGGAAUUCCUAGUGUAGCGGUGAAAUGCGUAGAUAUACGGAGGAACACCAGUGGCGAAGGCGGAUUGCUGGACAGUAACUGACGCUGAGGCGCGAAAGCGUGGGGAGCAAACAGGAUUAGAUACCCGUGUAC
This 448-nucleotide ribosomal RNA is filed under the name uncultured bacterium. Its description in RNAcentral is "bacterial SSU rRNA". It matches the Rfam family "Bacterial small subunit ribosomal RNA", at positions 330 to 793 of the family's 1533-position model. The record is from RNAcentral.